CGACAACACAGCUGAUCAGAACACGCGCGACAACACCGCUCUUCAGUACGCGCGCAACAGCAGACCUCACAUUAAAUCAGGGAUAAGACGAGAGAAGUUGUCCUCUGUUGCUGGUCUAUUUGUAAAAAAAGGGGAGCAGCUCAUCCAGUGCAAUUGUGAGACUGCACAGAGGAUUGCUGUCUGAGGAAUGACCUACGAUAAGGAUUUCUGCAUUGUCUUGGAGGAUGAGCGAGUCAUGGCUAGCUUGGAAAAUCUAGAAUUGCUGAACUGGAUUUAUACAAGUAUUCCCCAAAUUAAAGUCCCCCACAAACAAACUUUUAAGUUUCUAACACAAACUGCAUCAACUGAUUAAUUCAUUGUGCUGCUAAUAUUUUGAGAUAGAGCUUUUAUACUGGUCUUAUAUGUUGUCCAAUUCACAAAUUCUGUCUAAAAGUGAGUUUGUCUAAAAUGUGACUUCCUACAAAAGAAAGUUGACAGAAUUUUUUUUUCCAUGACAUGGAUAAAGAACUUUUUUCAGAGCUUAACAUUGCUGUACCUUUUAAAUAGAUUUGUUUAACAAAUUGUACCAUUUUGUUAUCAG
Danio rerio (zebrafish) is the source of this 580-nucleotide non-coding RNA. Lineage: Eukaryota; Metazoa; Chordata; Actinopteri; Cypriniformes; Danionidae. The record is from RefSeq and is a predicted model, not a curated record.